Molecule: ribosomal RNA, 1291 nt
Filed under: Vibrio crassostreae
Lineage: Bacteria; Pseudomonadati; Pseudomonadota; Gammaproteobacteria; Vibrionales; Vibrionaceae
Description: partial 23S ribosomal RNA
Rfam family: Bacterial large subunit ribosomal RNA
Source: RNAcentral
CUUACUAACGCUGAGAUACGAUGUCGAGCUACUACGGUAGUGAAGUCAUUGAUGCCAUGCUUCCAGGAAAAGCCUCUAAGCUUCAGAUUGUAAGGAAUCGUACCCCAAACCGACACAGGUGGUCGGGUAGAGAAUACCAAGGCGCUUGAGAGAACUCGGGUGAAGGAACUAGGCAAAAUGGUACCGUAACUUCGGGAGAAGGUACGCUCUUAUCAGUGAAGUCCCUUGCGGAUGGAGCAGACGAGAGUCGCAGAUACCAGGUGGCUGCAACUGUUUAUUAAAAACACAGCACUGUGCAAAAUCGUAAGAUGACGUAUACGGUGUGACGCCUGCCCGGUGCCGGAAGGUUAAUUGAUGGGGUUAGACUUCGGUCGAAGCUCUUGAUCGAAGCCCCGGUAAACGGCGGCCGUAACUAUAACGGUCCUAAGGUAGCGAAAUUCCUUGUCGGGUAAGUUCCGACCUGCACGAAUGGCGUAAUGAUGGCCACGCUGUCUCCACCCGAGACUCAGUGAAAUUGAAAUCGCUGUGAAGAUGCAGUGUACCCGCGGCUAGACGGAAAGACCCCGUGAACCUUUACUACAGCUUGGCACUGAACAUUGAACCUACAUGUGUAGGAUAGGUGGGAGACUUUGAAACCGCGUCGCUAGAUGUGGUGGAGUCGUCCUUGAAAUACCACCCUUGUAGUUUUGAUGUUCUAACGUUGGUCCCUGAAUCGGGAUUACGGACAGUGCCUGGUGGGUAGUUUGACUGGGGCGGUCUCCUCCCAAAGAGUAACGGAGGAGCACGAAGGUGGGCUAAACACGGUUGGACAUCGUGUGGUUAGUGCAAUGGCAUAAGCCCGCUUGACUGCGAGAAUGACAAUUCGAGCAGGUGCGAAAGCAGGUCAUAGUGAUCCGGUGGUUCUGAAUGGAAGGGCCAUCGCUCAACGGAUAAAAGGUACUCCGGGGAUAACAGGCUGAUACCGCCCAAGAGUUCAUAUCGACGGCGGUGUUUGGCACCUCGAUGUCGGCUCAUCACAUCCUGGGGCUGAAGUCGGUCCCAAGGGUAUGGCUGUUCGCCAUUUAAAGUGGUACGCGAGCUGGGUUUAGAACGUCGUGAGACAGUUCGGUCCCUAUCUGCCGUGGGCGUUGGAAAAUUGAAAGGGGCUGCUCCUAGUACGAGAGGACCGGAGUGGACGAACCUCUGGUGUUCGGGUUGUCAUGCCAAUGGCAUUGCCCGGUAGCUAAGUUCGGAAUCGAUAACCGCUGAAAGCAUCUAAGCGGGAAGCGAGCCUUGAGAUGAGUUUUCCCUG